AUACUUACCUGGAUGGGGUCUAUGGCUGAUCAAGAAAAGUCAUGGCCUAAGCUAGUGGCCUCCAUUGCACUUUGGAUGAGCACUAGUUUACCAUCUCCUUAAGUAGGAGAGUGGACAUCAUAAUUUAUGGCAGAGGGGAUACGCGUUCGCGCGGUCCCUAC
Molecule: small nuclear RNA, 161 nt
Filed under: Zea mays
Lineage: Eukaryota; Viridiplantae; Streptophyta; Magnoliopsida; Poales; Poaceae
Description: U1 spliceosomal RNA
Rfam family: U1 spliceosomal RNA
About the family: U1 is a small nuclear RNA (snRNA) component of the spliceosome (involved in pre-mRNA splicing). Its 5' end forms complementary base pairs with the 5' splice junction, thus defining the 5' donor site of an intron.
Source: Rfam by way of RNAcentral